RNAcentral lists this ribosomal RNA (460 nucleotides) under uncultured bacterium. RNAcentral describes it as "partial 16S ribosomal RNA". It matches the Rfam family "Bacterial small subunit ribosomal RNA", at positions 338 to 795 of the family's 1533-position model. The record is from RNAcentral.
CCUACGGGAGGCAGCAGUGAGGAAUAUUGGUCAAUGGCCGGAAGGCUGAACCAGCCAUGCCGCGUGAAGGUCAGUGCCCUAUGGGCGUUAAACUUCUUUUGUGCGGGAGCAAUAAUGGUCACGUGUGGCCAGACGACAGUACCGUACGAAUAAGCAUCGGCUAACUCCGUGCCAGCAGCCGCGGUAAUACGGGGGGUGCAAGCGUUAUCCGGAUUUAUAGGGGUUAAAGGGUGCGUAGGCUGUGAGGUAAGUCAUCGGUGAAAUGCCCCCGCUCAACGGGGUGAAGUGCCAUUGAUACUGCCUUGCUGGAAUGCUGAUGCCGUGGGAGGAAUGUGUGGUGUAGCGGUGAAAUGCAUAGAUAUCACACAGAACACCGAUUGCGAAGGCAUCUCACGAAUCCGCGAUUGACGCUGAUGCACGAAAGCGUGGGUAUCAAACAGGAUUAGAUACCCGAGUAGUC